This 253-nucleotide ribosomal RNA is filed under the name uncultured bacterium. RNAcentral describes it as "partial 16S ribosomal RNA". It matches the Rfam family "Bacterial small subunit ribosomal RNA", at positions 524 to 776 of the family's 1533-position model. The record is from RNAcentral.
UACGUAGGGUCCGAGCGUUGUCCGGAAUUACUGGGCGUAAAGAGCUCGUAGGUGGUUUGUCGCGUUGUUCGUGAAAACUCACAGCUCAACUGUGGGCGUGCGGGCGAUACGGGCAGACUGGAGUACUGCAGGGGAGACUGGAAUUCCUGGUGUAGCGGUGGAAUGCGCAGAUAUCAGGAGGAACACCUGCGGCGAAGGCGGGUUGCUGGGCCGACACUGACGCUGAUGCGCGAAAGCCAGGGGAGCGAACAGG